UCCCUGGAGGACUAGUGGUUAAGCCUCGGCACUCUCCCCGCCACGGCUUGCGUUCAAUUCCCGGCUAGGGAA
This 72-nucleotide transfer RNA is filed under the name Pangasianodon hypophthalmus (striped catfish). RNAcentral describes it as "tRNA-Glu". Lineage: Eukaryota; Metazoa; Chordata; Actinopteri; Siluriformes; Pangasiidae. The record is from RNAcentral.